AAACUAACAAGGAUUCCCCUAGUAACUGCGAGUGAAGCGGGAAAAGCUCAAAUUUAAAAUCUGGCAGCCUUCGGUUGUCCGAGUUGUAGUCUGGAGAAGCGUUUUCCGCGCUGGACCGUGUACAAGUCUCCUGGAACGGAGCGUCAUAGAGGGUGAGAAUCCCGUCUUUGACACGGACUACCAGUGCUUUGUGAUGCGCUCUCAAAGAGUCGAGUUGUUUGGGAAUGCAGCUCAAAAUGGGUGGUAAACUCCAUCUAAAGCUAAAUAUUGGCGAGAGACCGAUAGCGAACAAGUACCGUGAGGGAAAGAUGAAAAGCACUUUGGAAAGAGAGUUAAACAGUACGUGAAAUUGCUGAAAGGGAAACGCUUGAAGUCAGUCGCGUUUGCUAGAACUCAGCCUGGCUUCGGCUUGGUGCAUUUUCUAGUGAACGGGCCAGCAUCACUUUUGGCUGCGGGAUAAAGGUCGCAGAAAUGUGGCACCCUCGGGUGUGUUAUAGUCUGUGGCUGUAUACCGUGGCUGGGAGUGAGGAACUCAGCACGCGCAAGCUGUGCUUAGGAUGCUGGCGUAAUGGCUUUAAACGACC
RNAcentral lists this ribosomal RNA (584 nucleotides) under Hyphodermella rosae. Its description in RNAcentral is "LSU rRNA". It matches the Rfam family "Eukaryotic large subunit ribosomal RNA", at positions 62 to 649 of the family's 3401-position model. The record is from RNAcentral. Lineage: Eukaryota; Fungi; Basidiomycota; Agaricomycetes; Polyporales; Phanerochaetaceae.